GACGAACGCUGGCGGCGUGCUUAACACAUGCAAGUCGAACGGAAAGGCCCUGCUUUUGUGGGGUGCUCGAGUGGCGAACGGGUGAGUAACACGUGAGUAACCUGCCCUUGACUUUGGGAUAACUUCAGGAAACUGGGGCUAAUACCGGAUAGGAGCUCCUGCUGCAUGGUGGGGGUUGGAAAGUUUCGGCGGUUGGGGAUGGACUCGCGGCUUAUCAGCUUGUUUGUGGGGUAGUUGCUUACCAAGGCUUUGACGGGUAGCCGGCCUGAGAGGGUGACCGGGCACAUUGGGACUGAGAUACGGCCCAGACGCCUACGGGAGGCAGCAGUGGGGAAUAUUGCACAAUGGGCGGAAGCCUGAGGCAGCAGCGCCGCGUGCGGGAUGACGGCCUUCGGGUUGUAAACCGAUGUCGCCGGUGACGAAGCGUGAGUGACGGUAAUGGGUAAAGAAGCACCGGCUAACUACGUG
Molecule: ribosomal RNA, 468 nt
Filed under: uncultured bacterium
Lineage: Bacteria
Description: partial 16S ribosomal RNA
Rfam family: Bacterial small subunit ribosomal RNA
Source: RNAcentral